RNAcentral lists this non-coding RNA (103 nucleotides) under unclassified sequences. RNAcentral describes it as "S10-Clostridia ribosomal protein leader". It matches the Rfam family "S10-Clostridia ribosomal protein leader". The record is from RNAcentral.
UGAUAGCUGUGAAGUGGGAGGUUGCUACUUUCAUUUUUAAUUUAAAAGAUAGAAAGUAGGUUUUCACACUGAGCGAAGGUCAUGUUACUAAAACUGGCGACAA